AUCUUCGGCAAUGGGCGCAAGCCUGACCGAGCGACGCCGCGUGCGGGAUGAAGGCCUUCGGGUUGUAAACCGCUGUCGUAGAGGAGGAAAUGCAGGGGGGUUCUCCCUUCUGUUUGACCUAUUCUAGGAGGAAGUACGGGCUAAGUUCGUGCCAGCAGCCGCGGUAAGACGAACCGUACAAACGUUACUCGGAAUUACUGGGCUUAAAGGGUGCGUAGGCUGCGCGGAAAGUUGGGUGUGAAAGCCCUCAGCUCAACUGGGGAAUUGCAUUCAAAACUACCGUGCUCGAGGGAGACAGAGGUAAGCGGAACUCAAGGUGGAGCGGUGAAAUGCGUUGAUAUCUUGAGGAACACCGGUGGCGAAGGCGGCUUACUGGGUCUCUUCUGACGCUGAGGCACGAAAGCUAAGGUAGCAAACGGGAUUGGAUACCCCGGUAGUCUUAGCUGUAAACGAUGAGCACUUGUUUGAAGGGUCCUCCAUAGCCUUUCAGACGUAGCGAAAGUGUUAAGUGCUCCGCCUGGGGAGUAUGGUCGCAAGGCUGAAACUCAAAGAAA
Molecule: ribosomal RNA, 554 nt
Filed under: uncultured bacterium
Lineage: Bacteria
Description: bacterial SSU rRNA
Rfam family: Bacterial small subunit ribosomal RNA
Source: RNAcentral